RNA transcript from Scylla paramamosain (green mud crab), 2042 nucleotides. It is a transcript of the gene named programmed cell death protein 7-like, with no coding region annotated. NCBI's taxonomy places the organism in Eukaryota, Metazoa, Arthropoda, Malacostraca, Decapoda, Portunidae. The transcript has 7 exons. The record is from RefSeq and is a predicted model, not a curated record.
AUGUCACAGGAACCCCAGAGAGGUGUGAGGGAGCCGCCACUGCCGCUGCCCUCACAGCCUCCUGCAGGACAGAGGGUCACUCAUGGCCAGUCCCCGUACAUUCCAGGGCAAGAGAGAAGUUUAGGAUACAGCCAGCCCAGCGUUCACCCCAUGCACAUCCAUCCCACUGCCUCACCUGGGGACAAUUCAGGGCCUCAUUCAUUUCCUCCACUAGACCAUAGCCUUCCACCACCUCAUCUCCAUGGUAAUCCUCCUCCCAUGUUUGCCAGACCUCCUCCCAUGCCACCCAGGUUCUCCCAGCCUCCCCCAGCCAUGUCUCGCGCACCAAACAUUCCUUACCAAGUUGCAUUCCGGAAUCCUGUGAUGAUGCCCAGGGAAUGCAGUCCUUUGUGGCUCCAGCGCGGCCCCCCACCUGUCCCACCGUGCCCCCCGCUGCAGGGUGACAGAGCACCUGUCUCUGGCGUCCACUCGGGGAUCUCCAAGGGGACAGUUCUCAGGGACGCUGUGGGACAGGAGGAGGAGGACUUGAAGUGGCUGGAAGAGUUUGAGAAGAGAGUCAAAUCUUACCCACCUUCACCGCCACCAUCUGCUGAGUCCACCGCCGGCAAGAAGGUUGUUAAGCUGGCAGAGGUUCAGCGGCUGGUGGCAGAGUCCCAUUCACUAAGGGAGCAACUGUGUGUUCUGGAGAAGGAGCUGACUCGGGUGAUAGACUCAGCAGAGGAGGAGGAGUGGAUUCAUCUUGUGCAGCAGGCUGAAGGGGUCAAGGCAAGCCUUAAUCAGAUUUUGGAUGUGUUUCAAGACCAGGAAUUUGUUGGACGCACAAAAAUUUUACUGAAGCAGAGAAGAGCCAAGAGGAACCGAGUCAAGAGGAGGAAGAAAGAAAGGCAGCUGGAGCAGGAAGAGCUGAAAAGAAAGAGGGAAGAAGAGGAUGCCAAGAUAGAUGCCUGGAGAGCUAAACUGCAGCAAGAGGAAGACACCAAGAGGCGGGAGGAGGCGGUAAAGUGUGAGGCCGACAGUGUGCUGGGGGAGGUGCGGCAGAAGCAGAGUGAGGGCCAGAGGAUGCUGCAGCUACUGGAGGCACUGGCUGACCUACGCUGUACUCGGGCCACUCAGGCAGCCUCCCAGGGACGCCCCACAGAUGCUGAGGCUGACCACCGCUUCACCACCACCACAGAUGACGAAAAGGUUUUUGACCUUUUAGGGACUAGGACUGGCACCUCACUGGGCUUUGUUUUUCAGAGAUGCUCAGCAAGAUUGUGAAGGAGCAGUUGAAGGAAUAUGAGCUGGAGGAGCAAACUCUGCGGGUCAUGAUGGAGGAGAGCGCUUCGCACCGCUCUGCUGCUCUCUCAGCAAAGAGAGACGCCAACUUUGCAAGAUACAUGGAUGCCAUAAGGAAACUGCUCUUUGGCCCCACAGCCACAGCUGAAGAGGAUGCUGGCCUCUCAUUGGAAACUCUUGUUUGGAGAAGGCAAGACUGGGACCAGUACAUCGUAGAGCAGCAGCACCCCCUCGCCUCUGCCAUACCCGUGUCCUGGAUAUUGCCGCCAGAACAGCCUCACUCCUCCUGGGCAGCCUUCAAGAGAUGAUAUCUCCACAAUGCCUCUCUUGCUUCUCCUACACUCCUUGCUUUGUUCCUGUCAAAGAUCUGGAGAUGCAAAAGUGAUACUUUUGACACCCUGUUACCUAAAAAGGCCCUUAGACAAUUUAUUUCUAGCACAUUAUAUCUACUAGCUGUUUAUACUUGAAACCCUGUUAUGAAACUUAUGUACGGCCCUUAAACACUUAGGAUCCUGUUUCAUUACUUACAAGACUCCUACAUAAGAAGGAACACAUUACAAGCUAUUCAUACAUUCUGGUAGGAUCCUGUUUCAUUACUUACAGGACUCCUACACAAGAAGGAACACAUUACAAGCUAUUCAUACAUUCUGGUAGUUCCCCCCUGUGAUAUGUAGGUGGAUAAAUAAACCUUAGACUGCCUUUAGAACAUCAAAUAUAGGAAAAUUAAUACAUGAGCCACUAAUAUAAUAAACUGCAAACCAUGA